This is a long non-coding RNA of Monopterus albus (swamp eel), 941 nucleotides long. RefSeq lists it as uncharacterized. NCBI's taxonomy places the organism in Eukaryota, Metazoa, Chordata, Actinopteri, Synbranchiformes, Synbranchidae. The record is from RefSeq and is a predicted model, not a curated record. The transcript is spliced from 5 exons.
CGACGGCCAUUGUUCCUCUGACAGGUGUAUCACCUCCGCUGGUCAGCGUUAUCAUGGGGUUCAUACAGUCUAAAGCAGUUGUCACAGACAUUAAUGGAUGGUGUUUAACGGUUUGAGGAUAUAUUUUCACUGUGUUACCGACCAGGCUUCCCCUUGAAGAUCUUACGGUUAACGUGAAUUUGACAUGCAUAGCAGUGUUAACUAUUUUGGGAAGCGGUCAGUGCAGUGACGUACGUGCUACUAAGGUUUCAGUAGUUCAAUAAAAAGCGUCUAGAUAAGCUUGCAGUGCAGUAUGCUGAGCAUAAGGAGACAAAUAUUAUGUUCACUGAGACAAGGCAGAAUAAAGUCCCUCUUAGAGCAAAGUUCUCCGUCUCCCUCUUCUCCUCACGGCCAUCGAGCCCAGGGCUGCUAAGGCUAGCUAGCACAAAGACCAGAGGACUCCCAGCUUCAGAUUGGAGCUGCAGAUCUGCAAAGGAAACGGCUAAACCAGCUUCCCAGCACAGGUUUGAAGCUCGGGGGCCUGGUGAAUGCUUGCUGCUCAUUGAGCACCACUGGCAGCCACCAAGAGAAGCAAACGUCUGCUUAACAAGAACGGGUUGACCAUAAGCUGAGAAGCGUUUGGCCAGCCUGCCUAUGAGAUGUAUCUGAUGUCGCUGCCUCUGGCACCUCUUCACCGGGUGACAUCCACAGGACCUCUGCACCAUCUUCACCCACCAGCAUCUGUAACCACCUACAGACUCAGGAACUACACAAGACCUCCACCACCAGUAACUGCAUGGAGACAGCCCCUCUGGAGCUGCAAAUGUUAAGCCAUCCGUUGACCUUCAACCUGUGGCUCUGGCAUCUUGCUAGUUUCCGUCGUACUCGCCAUGCUCCAGGAAACGGCCAUUUUUUAUGUCACACUCCAUUUCGCUGCGGGUCAUGAAGGAGUACAUCUGGCC